Molecule: RNA transcript, 1865 nt
Organism: Juglans microcarpa x Juglans regia
Lineage: Eukaryota; Viridiplantae; Streptophyta; Magnoliopsida; Fagales; Juglandaceae
Gene name: protein FLX-like 3
Exons: 6
Source: RefSeq, a predicted model, not a curated record
AAACACCCACAAUCAGACAAUCUAAACGACGCCGCAUAAUAUAUUCCAUCGCCUGCAUCAAAUACAAGCAGUUCUCACAAAUUGCAGAAUCGUCUGAUUGUUGUUUACAAAAGCCACUCGAGCCCUUGCACAGACCAAAUUCAACAGGCGGCUCAAAGUCUCUCUCAUCUCUCUCGUUUUUUGGCUUAGAACUUGCGUUUGGAAGGUAAUUUGAUAUGGCUGGGAGAAACCGUGGUCCCCGUGAAACCUUCAAUGACAGGCAUGGUUACGCACUUGAAGGGCCUUUCAUUCGGGGACCUCCAAUGCCUAGGCCUCCUCCUCCUCCUCCUCGCCAUCCUGCUUUGUUGGAGGAAGAGCUUGAAAUGCAGCAUGCUGAGAUGCGGAGGCUCUUAGGUGAUAAUAGGAUGCUGGUUGAAGACCGUAUGGCUCUGCAUCGAGAGCUUGGUGCUACCAAGGAGGAGCUUCAUCGCAUGAAUAUCGUCGUUGCUGAUGUCCGUGCAGAACAAGAAAUCCGCUUUAGGGAGCUUAGGGAGAAAGGUAUGAAGCUAGAGGCUGAUCUCCGAGCUGCCGAGCCUCUGAAAAAUGAGGCUGCACAACUUCGCACAGAAGUUCAGAAGUUGAAUAACCUAAGGCAGGACCUUGCAACGCAAGUUAAGAGCCUCACUCAAGACAGUGUAAGGUUGCAAGCUGAUAAUCAACAGAUUCCUCUUUUAAGGGCAGAUAUUGAUGGGAUUCACCAGGAGCUUAUGCAUGCUAGGGCGGCACUUGAUUAUGAGAAGAAGGCAAACAUUGAGCUGAUGGAACAGAGACAGACAAUGGAAAAGAACUUGGUUUCCAUGGCUCGUGAAGUUGAGAGGCUACGUGCAGAAUUUGCAAAUGCUGACAGUAGGCCAUGGGGUUCUGGUGGACCAUAUGGGACAAAAUUCAGCAGCUCAGAUAGCAUCUUUUCUGCACCUUAUGGAGAUGGCUAUGGGGUUCACCUGGGCACUGCUGACAAAGGUCCUCGGUAUGGUCUGGGUCCGGCUUCAUUGGGAGGACUUGACAAGCCUCGCACGACUCGUCGUUGAGAUCUGGGUGAUUACUGUUCGAUUGGAGAAUUGGCUUACCUGUUUCUUUUGAUGUCCGUUAUUCAUAUAUAAAUGGGCAAGAAGUGUUAGUUUUCAUCUACGUCUGCAUUCCAUAUCAAAAAUAGAAGGCUGGUACUUUUGCUUGGAAGGUAGGGGAAGGGAAAGGAUGAGUCAGAUAAACUUAUGCGAUGCUGGCUGAAUGGUCUUUUAGUGGAUAUUUAGCAUCACAAUUGGUUGCUUUCAGCAAUUUUCAUACAUGCUUGCCCCUUACUGCAUGUUCUGUAAGGUGCUGGAAGUGCUUUAGGCAAGCAGCAGAUAUAUUCCAACCACAUUACCGGAGCAGCAGCAGCAGUUUGCCGUUUCUGGAAAUUGUUUUCCAGAGGCAGAUCUGGGGUUUACUGAGUUUUCUUGAAACCUCAAAUCAGCUUUCAUUCAUUCAGGGUAAAGACCAGCCAGGUACCCCACAUUACCCCUCUUCUUCCACUUUUCUUAAUUUUUUUAAGAGCUGCUUUAAGGAUGUUAUCAAGGGAGGAGGUGAAGCUUUGGAGAGGAGUGCCUUGUGACUGUCGUGGUCGUUAUACGUCAUGAUUUGCUUCUGUUCUUAGAUAUCCCGAUCUUGAGCCGAGCUGAGGGGUUGGGAUGGUUUUGCUGCAAAAAAAUAAAAAUAAAAUAGGCUUUCGAAGCUUAAGCGUAAAAGUUAAAUAUUUGAAUGGUACUCUUUAAAGUUGAUACCGAGACUCAAUUUCGAUGUUUUCUUUUAAACACGCACACAAUUUUGUGGAGUUUAGUUUUGGUUAA